This 253-nucleotide ribosomal RNA is filed under the name uncultured bacterium. Its description in RNAcentral is "partial 16S ribosomal RNA". It matches the Rfam family "Bacterial small subunit ribosomal RNA", at positions 524 to 775 of the family's 1533-position model. The record is from RNAcentral.
UACGGAGGGGGCUAGCGUUGUUCGGAAUUACUGGGCGUAAAGCGCACGUAGGCGGCUUUGUAAGUUAGAGGUGAAAGCCCGGAGCUCAACUCCGGAACUGCCUUUAAGACUGCAUCGCUAGAAUUGUGGAGAGGUGAGUGGAAUUCCGAGUGUAGAGGUGAAAUUCGUAGAUAUUCGGAAGAACACCAGUGGCGAAGGCGGCUCACUGGACCGGUACUGACGCUGAGGCGCGAAAAGCGUGGGGAGCAACGGG